CCUACGGGGGGCUGUAGUGGGGAAUAUUGGACAAUGGGGGAAACCCUGAUCCAGCAAUGCCGCGUGUGUGAAGAAGGCCUGCGGGUUGUAAAGCACUUUCGGUUGGGAAGAAAAGUUUGGCGCCAAUACCGCCGAACCUUGACGUUACUGACAGAAGAAGCACCGGCUAACUCUGUGCCAGCAGCCGCGGUAAUACAGAGGGUACAAGCGGUAGUAGGAAUCACUGAGCGUAAAGCGCACGUAGGGUGUGAAAUCCCCGAGCUUAACCUGGGAACUGCAUUCGAUACUACAUGGCUAGAGUAUGGUAGAGGGAAGUGGAAUUUCCGGUGUAGCGGUGAAAUGCGUAGAUAUCGGAAGGAACACCAAUGGCGAAGGCAGCUUCCUGGACUAAUACUGACACUGAGGCACGAAAGCGUGGGUAGCAAACAGGAUUAGAUACCCGAGUAGUC
This 449-nucleotide ribosomal RNA is filed under the name uncultured bacterium. RNAcentral describes it as "partial 16S ribosomal RNA". It matches the Rfam family "Bacterial small subunit ribosomal RNA", at positions 338 to 795 of the family's 1533-position model. The record is from RNAcentral.